Molecule: non-coding RNA, 294 nt
Organism: Cherax quadricarinatus
Lineage: Eukaryota; Metazoa; Arthropoda; Malacostraca; Decapoda; Parastacidae
Source: RefSeq, a predicted model, not a curated record
CACUGGGCUACAGACGUUCAGCAGUGACUCAAAAACAACUUGAAUUAAUGGAGAAGAACAUGAAGGGACAACGGAAGCAAAGAGGAAUGAAGAGGAAAAGGGAGCUGGACACGUCCUACGAGCCUGGAGGACAUUAGAUAAUCAUGUGUCCACCUACAUCCAGUCAUAGAUUGAUUGGGAUGGAUUGUUAUGAUUGGCCGGCCACCAGAGAACUUCAGGACAAAGGGAUCUUCAUGGAACUUCAGGAAUAAUGUCUAUAUAACCAGUUCUACUCUCAAUAAACGUAUAAAGGCA